Molecule: ribosomal RNA, 465 nt
Filed under: Vreelandella stevensii
Lineage: Bacteria; Pseudomonadati; Pseudomonadota; Gammaproteobacteria; Oceanospirillales; Halomonadaceae
Description: partial 16S ribosomal RNA
Rfam family: Bacterial small subunit ribosomal RNA
Source: RNAcentral
CCUACGGGGGGCAGCAGUGGGGAAUAUUGGACAAUGGGGGGAACCCUGAUCCAGCCAUGCCGCGUGUGUGAAGAAGGCCCUCGGGUUGUAAAGCACUUUCAGUGAGGAAGAACGCCUGGUGGUUAAUACCCAUCAGGAAAGACAUCACUCACAGAAGAAGCACCGGCUAACUCCGUGCCAGCAGCCGCGGUAAUACGGAGGGUGCGAGCGUUAAUCGGAAUUACUGGGCGUAAAGCGCGCGUAGGUGGCUUGAUAAGCCGGUUGUGAAAGCCCCGGGCUCAACCUGGGAACGGCAUCCGGAACUGUCAAGCUAGAGUGCAGGAGAGGAAGGUAGAAUUCCCGGUGUAGCGGUGAAAUGCGUAGAGAUAGGGAGGAAUACCAGUGGCGAAGGCGGCCUUCUGGACUGACACUGACACUGAGGUGCGAAAGCGUGGGUAGCAAACAGGAUUAGAUACCCUUGUAGUC